UUAUGUGAUGAUGAUUGGCUAAAUGUGUUCAACUGCUCUGAUAUCUGAUUGAAAUUGGCCUGUCUGAACAUCU
Molecule: small nucleolar RNA, 73 nt
Organism: Lampris incognitus (smalleye Pacific opah)
Lineage: Eukaryota; Metazoa; Chordata; Actinopteri; Lampriformes; Lampridae
Product: small nucleolar RNA Z40
Exons: 1
Source: RefSeq, a predicted model, not a curated record